CCUACGGGUGGCAGCAGUGAGGAAUAUUGGUCAAUGGCCGCAAGGCUGAACCAGCCAUGCCGCGUGAAGGUCAGUGCCCUAUGGGCGUUAAACUUCUUUUGUGCGGGAGCAAUAAUGGUCACGUGUGGCCAGACGAGAGUACCGUACGAAUAAGCAUCGGCUAACUCCGUGCCAGCAGCCGCGGUAAUACGGGGGAUGCAAGCGUUAUCCGGAUUUAUUGGGUUUAAAGGGUGCGUAGGCUGUGAGGUAAGUCAGCGGUGAAAUGCCCCCGCUCAACGGGGUGAAGUGCCAUUGAUACUGGCUGGCUGGAGUGCGGAUGCGGUGGGAGGAAUGUGUGGUGUAGCGGUGAAAUGCAUAGAUAUCACAAAGAACACCGAUUGCGAAGGCAUCUCACGAAUCCGCGAUUGACGCUGAUGCACGAAAGCGUGGGUAUCAAACAGGAUUAGAUACCCCUGUAGUC
This 460-nucleotide ribosomal RNA is filed under the name uncultured bacterium. RNAcentral's name for it is "partial 16S ribosomal RNA". It matches the Rfam family "Bacterial small subunit ribosomal RNA", at positions 338 to 795 of the family's 1533-position model. The record is from RNAcentral.